UGCCAGACUCCUACGGGAGGCAGCAGUGAGGAAUAUUGGUCAAUGGGCGAGAGCCUGAACCAGCCAAGUCGCGUGAGGGAGUACUGCCCUAUGGGUUGUAAACCUCUUUUGUCGGGGAGCAAAAGCCGGACGUGUCCGGCUGUGAGAGUACCCGAAGAAAAAGCAUCGGCUAACUCCGUGCCAGCAGCCGCGGUAAUACGGAGGAUGCGAGCGUUAUCCGGAUUUAUUGGGUUUAAAGGGUGCGCAGGCGGAUUUUUAAGUCAGCGGUCAAAUCGUGGGGCUCAACCCCAUCCAGCCGUUGAAACUGGUUUUCUUGAGUGAGUGAGAAGUAUGCGGAAUGCGUGGUGUAGCGGUGAAAUGCAUAGAUAUCACGCAGAACUCCGAUUGCGAAGGCAGCAUACCGGCGCUCAACUGACGCUCAUGCACGAAAGUGUGGGUAUCGAACAGGAUUAGAUACCCGUGUA
RNAcentral lists this ribosomal RNA (464 nucleotides) under uncultured bacterium. Its description in RNAcentral is "bacterial SSU rRNA". It matches the Rfam family "Bacterial small subunit ribosomal RNA", at positions 329 to 792 of the family's 1533-position model. The record is from RNAcentral.